This 253-nucleotide ribosomal RNA is filed under the name uncultured bacterium. Its description in RNAcentral is "partial 16S ribosomal RNA". It matches the Rfam family "Bacterial small subunit ribosomal RNA", at positions 524 to 776 of the family's 1533-position model. The record is from RNAcentral.
UACGUAGGGUGCGAGCGUUAAUCGGAAUUACUGGGCGUAAAGCGUGCGCAGGCGGUUUUGUAAGCCGGAUGUGAAAUCCCCGGGCUUAACCUGGGAAUGGCAUUCGGGACUGCAAGGCUGGAGUGCGGCAGAGGAGACUGGAAUUCCUGGUGUAGCAGUGAAAUGCGUAGAUAUCAGGAGGAACACCAAUGGCGAAGGCAGCACUCUGGGACGUGACUGACGCUGAGACGCGAAAGCGUGGGGAGCAAACAGG